This 253-nucleotide ribosomal RNA is filed under the name uncultured bacterium. Its description in RNAcentral is "partial 16S ribosomal RNA". It matches the Rfam family "Bacterial small subunit ribosomal RNA", at positions 524 to 776 of the family's 1533-position model. The record is from RNAcentral.
UACGAAGGGUGCAAGCGUUAAUCGGAAUUACUGGGCGUAAAGCGUGCGUAGGCGGUUCGUUAAGUCUGUCGUGAAAGCCCUGGGCUCAACCUGGGAAUGGCGAUGGAUACUGGCGGGCUAGAGUCAGGUAGAGGGUGGUGGAAUUCCCGGUGUAGCGGUGAAAUGCGUAGAGAUCGGGAGGAACAUCUGUGGCGAAGGCGGCCACCUGGACCAUGACUGACGCUGAGGCACGAAAGCGUGGGGAGCAAACAGG